GAGGCAGGAAGAGCGGUCUGUCUCUACAGGUAGAAGAGACAGGAAGAGCGGUCUGUCUCUACAGGUAGAAGAGGCAGGAAGAGCGGUCUGUCUCUACAGGUAGAAGAGGCAGGAAGAGCGGUCUGUCUCUACAGGUAGAAGAGACAGGAAGAGCGGUCUGUCUCUACAGGUAGAAGAGGCAGGAAGAGCGGUCUGUCUCUACAGGUAGAAGAGGCAGGAAGAGCGGUCUGUCUCUACAGGUAGAAGAGACAGGAAGAGCGGUCUGUCUCUACAGGUAGAAGAGGCAGGAAGAGCGGUCUGUCUCUACAGGUAGAAGAGGCAGGAAGAGCGGUCUGUCUCUACAGGUAGAAGAGACAG
Molecule: long non-coding RNA, 357 nt
Organism: Oncorhynchus tshawytscha (Chinook salmon)
Lineage: Eukaryota; Metazoa; Chordata; Actinopteri; Salmoniformes; Salmonidae
Exons: 3
Source: RefSeq, a predicted model, not a curated record